CAAAAUCAGGAUCGCUUUGGUUCUCUCUCCCCCUCGGUUCCUUUGUCUGCAUUCCCACCCGUCCACGCGUCUGCGGGCUUCUACCGCUUCUUCUUCUGCUUGAGGGACUUCCUCCGCUUCAGGAUCAUCUCGUAGAGCUUGUCCAUGCCCUCCGUCAGCCCCUCGCCGAUGAUGGCGCAGGCGGGCUGGAUGUGGUAGGUGGUGGAGGGGGUGAGCUCGUGCAGGGCCAGCUGCUUCUCGAUCUCGGCCACCGGCAGGGACUUGGGCAGGUCCUGCUUGUUGGCGAUGACCAGCAGCGGCGUGCCCUGGUUCUCGGCGAACUUGGUCACCUUGUGCAGCUCCGUCUUGGCCUCCUCCAGCCGGUCCACGUCCACCGAGUCCACCACGUAGAUGAUGCCGUCGGUGCAGCGGCUGUAGGACUUCCAGAGCGGGCGCAGCUUCUCCUGGCCGCCCACGUCCCAGAAGUGGCAGCUGAUGCCCUUGGCCGUGCCGUUGCUCAGCCGGAUCUUCUCGGUGUUGAAGCCGAUGGUGGGCACGGUGUUGACGAACUCGUUGAACUUCAGCCGGUACAGCACCGUCGUCUUCCCCGCCGAGUCCAGCCCCAGCAUGACGAUGUGCAGGGACUGGAAGGCGGAGAUGUUGGACGAGAUGUUCCCCAUGGCCGCCCGCGGGGCGCCCCUCGCCGCCCGCCCCCCUCCUCCCCUCACAACCCGGCGCCCAUGGCCGCGGCCCGGCCCGGCUCGGCUCGGCCCGGCCCGGCUCGGUUCGGCCCUGCUGGGCUCUCCUGGGCUCGGCAGGGCUCGGCUCGGCCGCUGGCGGCUCCACGCCGAGCCGGGGCUCGGGGACUGCCGGCCGCCGCCUGCCGCCCCGCCCGGGAGGAGGGGCCGCGCCGCCGCUUCCCUCACGGCCUCCUGCCCUCCUUCCCUGCCUCUUUUCUCUCCUUCCCUGCCUCUCCGCUGUUCCUCCCAGCCUUGUGGCCGAGCCGAAUUGCUCGGGAGGUGACACCGGGCGCUGUUUUCUUGGUGGAAAUCCCAAGCAAGGCUCCUUGGCACCGUGUCACCUCCUGGCACCGUGUCACCUCCACGCGCGGCGUGUGGCGUCACGCAGGUGCAGGGCUGGCUGGAGGGUCAAACACCCACCCAGCGCACCAUUUGCCCUCCAUCGGGCCAAGCAGAGCCCUUCAAGAACCAGCUUAAAGCCAGUUGUGCAGCCUGAUCUCCAGGAAAUGCUAAAACAGCCACAAAUGAGGGAAAAAAAAAAAUAAUUCAAAGGAGUUCACAUGAAAACAGCCCAGUGCUCUGGCUCUGUAAGCAAUAAGGAGUGGAGGCCCUUGGAGGAACACAAGAACAGGGUAGGUGUGUUUUAUAAUCUUUGAUGUAUUUUUCUGUUGUUUUGUUUUGUUUUUCUCCAUGAAUUCUUACCACCCAUCUCUGAAGCUUUACAAGCGUAGCCUUUUCUGUAUCCUGUGGCAGAAUACCAGCACGUACCUAUGUGCUGGACAAAAAGGGACCUCCUUAGCCUGAACCUGCCCAGAAAUUGCCUCUGCAAACUCACGCCAAGCGCAGGCUUGCAGGUUAAAGCACGUGCAGUUGAGCAGGAGGACUUUUUGACAGGUUAUGCUGGGAUUUGCACCGAAAACAGCUCUCUUUUUGCACUAUGCUUGCAUCAAAGCCCCGACUGUGCCUGUCACUCCCCCCCCAACCCUGCAAUUCUGCAGGAGGAACAAAACCUUUGCCUGACUUGAGCAGGCACAGACAAAAGAGGAGCGCUCUGUGCCUUUGUUCCUGCUAUUUGCUGAGAUGACAGACGUCAUUUUUGCACGGCGAGUGCUGGGUCCUACUGCCGCGAGUGAGUGCAGCGGGAGGAGAAGUGAGGUUGGCGUGCUUGCGGGGCUCUGCCAGGGACUGGUCUGGUGCUGGAUGGAGCAAAGCAGUGCUGGUAUUUUGUGGUCACACACACACAAAAAAAGGGUUCAUUUGGCUGUCCUGACUGAUUGUUUGGAUGCCUGAGCUGGAGGGAAUAAAAUCUGGUGUGCAGAGGGUGAGCAAAGGAGGAUGUCUUCCUUUAAGCACAGAUGCAUUGUAGGGGUGGAGGAUUUAGCAGCCUUGGGUUUUAUCUGCUGCAUCAGGGGCUCUGUGCACAUAAAUUGCCCGCUGCCCUCAGAAGGGUGACAGGGACAUUUCUGGCUGGGGUAAUCAUUUCCCCAUCUCACAGAAGAGGAGAAAAGGCCUAGGGAAGCCUGAGCCCAGCUGAUUGCAAUUCCUGUGCAGCCAGGUAUGGUGGCAGCCUGGAAACUCAAGCCUAAACACACCCACACAGGGGAAAGGAUGCUGAAUUUGGAAUGGUUAGGCACACACAGACAGGAUGAACAAGGGUGGUUCAGGUUUGUCUGCAGACACAACCUACGUGGCCAACACAUCCUCACUCCUGUCCCUAUAGCACCGGGUCUCAGCCAUUCCCUGCUCUGGUGUCACUCCGGCCCAAAGCUGCAGAUUUUGCCCCACGGUUUUUCUGCAACCCUCUCGCAGAAAGCAAAGUGGAUUAGCCUUGCUGCCGGCGAUAAGCGUGAGGCUUAGAAAAACUAUCAAUUUUCCAGCACCCUUCCCAGGGCAGUAAAUCUGGGAGCCUACCUAGCUGCACGCGUGGCAGAGAGAGUGAAAGCGCAGCGCUGGUGGGGAUUUAGGGCUCAUGAAUCACCCCGUGCUCUCUGGUGGCAUGCCAGCAUCUCAGAUUGCCUCCUUGUGUAAUUUGCACCACCAAUUUCUGCUCAACCCCCAAAAAAUAUCAGAGUACCUUAUUUGCUCCUGUCGUCCCC
This is a long non-coding RNA of Cairina moschata (Muscovy duck), 2815 nucleotides long. NCBI's taxonomy places the organism in Eukaryota, Metazoa, Chordata, Aves, Anseriformes, Anatidae. The record is from Ensembl.